Molecule: non-coding RNA, 734 nt
Organism: Ictidomys tridecemlineatus (thirteen-lined ground squirrel)
Lineage: Eukaryota; Metazoa; Chordata; Mammalia; Rodentia; Sciuridae
Source: RefSeq, a predicted model, not a curated record
GAUCAAUAUCUAAGGAUCUCUUGAGGAAAAUACAACUGAAAUGCCUUAUAUUUAUAUUGCAAUGUAGUAGCAUCAUUUGAAAGAAAACUAUAUUUACACCUUUGGACAGGCUACAGUGAGGACAGAAGCUCCUUUUCAACUUCAGUUCACAAAUCUAAAGGAAAUCUAUGAAAAACCUCAGUCUGGCUAUUGGAACCUUCUUCUAUCUCACAAAAUUUCAAUCUAAUAUUUGAAAAAACUGGUGAAACUUUAGAAAAUGAUGUUAGUCUCUAUGUGAGUUUAAAUAACAUUAGACAAUCUCCAUAAUAAUAAAUCCAUUAAUUACUGAUGUUGUGACAUAUUAAUGUAUAAAGUAGAAAUUUUAAAUUAUUAAGAUGAACUAAAAAGUAACAACAUUUUUCACUUUUGAAUCUUUUGGGGAAGAUAUUUCUUAAUAAAAUGAGAAAAGACACAAAAUGAAUAAAAAUUGGGACACGCUGAAUGUUAAGUAGAUACUUCCAAAUUAUUUAUCUUUAGUAUGCCUCAACUUUUCUCUUUUUAAUUGUGUUUAUUUGCAAAAAUAAAGAGGCUUCCUUAUUUGUAGUUUGAAACAAGUGAAUCUGAGGUAAUGGAAAACUCAAGAAAAUGUAUUAGAACAAAAUACAAUGCUAUAUUUAACUUCACAUAUUAUGUAAUCUAUGAUGGGGAAAAUAUAAAGGAAAGAAAUCAUAGGAAUAAAGUUUGUUUCAUUUUAA